Molecule: ribosomal RNA, 482 nt
Filed under: uncultured bacterium
Lineage: Bacteria
Description: bacterial SSU rRNA
Rfam family: Bacterial small subunit ribosomal RNA
Source: RNAcentral
GAGACACGCUGGCGGCGUGCCUAACACAUGCAAGUCGAGCGGAGUCGAUCGACGGAAGCCUUCGGGCGGAAGAUGGUUGACUUAGCGGCGGAUGGGUGAGUAACGCGUGGGCAACCUGCCUCGAAGACCGGGAUAACAGCCCGAAAGGGCUGCUAAUACCGGAUGUGGUCAAGGAUCCGCAUGGAUUUUGAUUAAAGGGGAAACCCGUUUCGAGAUGGGCCCGCGUCCUAUCAGCUAGUUGGUGAGGUAAAAGCUCACCAAGGCGACGACGGGUAGCCGGCCUGAGAGGGUGACCGGCCACACUGGAACUGAGACACGGUCCAGACUCCUACGGGGGGCAGCAGUGGGGAAUCUUCCACAAUGGGCGAAAGCCUGAUGGAGCGACGCCGCGUGAGCGAAGAAGGCCUUCGGGUUGUAAAGCUCUGUCUGGAGGGACGAAGGAAGUGACGGUACCUCCGGAGGAAGCCACGGCUAACUACGUG